This 253-nucleotide ribosomal RNA is filed under the name uncultured bacterium. RNAcentral describes it as "partial 16S ribosomal RNA". It matches the Rfam family "Bacterial small subunit ribosomal RNA", at positions 524 to 776 of the family's 1533-position model. The record is from RNAcentral.
GACGAACCGAGCGAACGUUGUUCGGAAUCACUGGGCUUAAAGGGCGCGUAGGCGGGCUGCCGCGUCCGGGGUGAAAUCCUCCGGCUCAACCGGAGAACGGCCCCGGGUACGGGCGGCCUCGAGGGGGGUAGGGGCGUGCGGAACUGUGGGUGUAGCGGUGAAAUGCGUAGAUAUUGGGAGGAACACCGGUGGCGAAGGCGGCCCUCUGGACCGAAACUGACACUGAAGCGCGAAAGCUAGGGGAGCAAACGGG